CCUACGGGCGGCAGCAGUCGAGAAUCAUUCACAAUGGGGGAAACCCUGAUGGUGCGACGCCGCGUGGGGGAAUGAAGGUCUUCGGAUUGUAAACCCCUGUCAUGUGGGAGCAAAUUAAAAAGAUAGUACCACAAGAGGAAGAGACGGCUAACUCUGUGCCAGCAGCCCCGGUAAUUCAGAGGGCUCAAGCGUUGUUGGGAAUCACUGGGCGUAAAGCGUGCGUAGGCUGUUUCGUAAGUCGUGUGUGAAAGGCGCGGGCUCAACCCGCGGACGGCACAUGAUACUGCGAGACUAGAGUAAGGGAGGGGGAACCGGAAUUCUCGGUGUAGCAGUGAAAUGCGUAGAUAUCGAGAGGAACACUCGUGGCGAAGGCAGGUUCCUGGACAUUAACUGACGCUGAGGCACGAAGGCCAGGGGAGCGAAAGGGAUUAGAUACCCCAGUAGUC
RNAcentral lists this ribosomal RNA (446 nucleotides) under uncultured bacterium. Its description in RNAcentral is "partial 16S ribosomal RNA". It matches the Rfam family "Bacterial small subunit ribosomal RNA", at positions 338 to 795 of the family's 1533-position model. The record is from RNAcentral.